This 374-nucleotide ribosomal RNA is filed under the name uncultured eukaryote. RNAcentral describes it as "partial 18S ribosomal RNA". It matches the Rfam family "Eukaryotic small subunit ribosomal RNA", at positions 592 to 976 of the family's 1831-position model. The record is from RNAcentral.
CAAGAGCGUAUGUAAAAGUUGUUGCAGUUAAAAAGCUCGUAGUUGAACCUUGGGUUUGGUUGGCCGGUCCGCUUUUUUGCGAGUACUGGAUUCAACCGAGCCUUUCCUUCUGGCUAACCAGUCGUUUCGGCGGCUGGCGAACCAGGAUUUGUACUUUGAGAAAAUUAGAGUGUUCAAAGCAGGCAUUAGCUUGAAUAUAUUAGCAUGGAAUAAUAGAAUAGGACGUUAUGGUUCUAUUUUGUUGGUUUCUAGGACCAUCGUAAUGAUUAAUAGGGACGGUCGGGGGCAUCAGUAUUCAGUUGUCAGAGGUGAAAUUCUUGGAUUUACUGAAGACUAACUACUGCGAAAGCAUUUGCCAAGGACGUUUUCAUUAA